AGAACGAACGCUGGCGGCAUGCCUAAUACAUGCAAGUCGAACGAACACUUCGGUGUUAGUGGCGCACGGGUGCGUAACGCGUGGGAAUCUGCCCUUGGGUUCGGAAUAACAGUUGGAAACGACUGCGUAAUACCGGAUGAUAAUCGAAAGAUCAAAGAUUUAUCGCCCAGGGAUGAGCCCGCGUAGGAUUAGCUAGUUGGUGAGGUAAUGGCUCACCAAGGGCCGACGAUCCGUAACUGGUCUGAGAGGAUGAUCAGUCACACUGGAACUGAGACACGGUCCAGACUCCUACGGGAGGCAGCAGUGGGGGAAUAGUUGGACAAGUCGGGCGAAAGCCCUAGGACUCCAGCCAGUGGCCGCGUGUGUGAAGGAAGUCUUCGGAUUGAAGCUAUUAGUGGAGAGGUUGACUUAUACGUG
Molecule: ribosomal RNA, 417 nt
Filed under: uncultured soil bacterium
Lineage: Bacteria
Description: bacterial SSU rRNA
Rfam family: Bacterial small subunit ribosomal RNA
Source: RNAcentral